UUGGUCAAGUGGUUAAGACACCGCCCUUUCACGGCGGUAACACGGGUUCGAAUCCCGUAGGGGUCACCA
This 69-nucleotide transfer RNA is filed under the name Lysinibacillus sphaericus CBAM5. RNAcentral describes it as "tRNA-Glu". It matches the Rfam family "tRNA". Rfam says of the family: Transfer RNA (tRNA) molecules are approximately 80 nucleotides in length. Their secondary structure includes four short double-helical elements and three loops (D, anti-codon, and T loops). Lineage: Bacteria; Bacillati; Bacillota; Bacilli; Caryophanales; Bacillaceae. The record is from RNAcentral.